GAUGAAGAACGUAGCGAAAUGCGAUAAGUAGUGUGAAUUGCAGAAUUCAGUGAAUCAUCGAAUCUUUGAACGCACAUUGCGCCCCUUGGUAUUCCAUGGGGCAUGCCUGUUCGAGCGUCAUUUGUACCUUCAAGCUUUGCUUGGUGUUGGGUGUUUGUCCUGAGGGACUCGCCUUAAAGUAAUUGGCAGCCAGUGUUUGGUUUUGAAGCGCAGCACAAGUCGCGAUUCAAAGCUAUACGCCCGCUUCCACAAGCCUUUUUCACUUUUGACCUCGGAUCAGGUAGGGAUACCCGCUGAACUUAAGCAUAUCAAUAAGGGAGGA
Molecule: unclassified non-coding RNA, 322 nt
Filed under: soil metagenome
Description: partial contains 5.8S ribosomal RNA, internal transcribed spacer 2, and large subunit ribosomal RNA
Rfam family: 5.8S ribosomal RNA (bases 1-120)
Source: RNAcentral